ACGUUGUUGGGGCGGGGAAAACGUGGGCACCACCAUUUUGACAGUAUUCGGCAGGCUGGCGCUAUUGUGGUGGAGAAGACAUGGUCGAUGACUGUUGUGCACCAGGUUGCACAAAUAAACGAGGCAAAAAUAAAUGUACGUCGUUCCACCGCGUUCCUAAAGAUGCGGAGAGGCGAGCUAAGUGGAUCAGCGCCAUUAAAAGAGCCAGGAGCAAGCAAAAAAAGACUGAAAAAUGGGACCCCCCGGCUGUUGGAUUCCGCUUGUGCAGCGAUCACUUCAUAUCAGGGAGAAAGAGUGAUAAUCCCUUGAGUCCGGACUUUGUUCCAUCUGUUUUCAACUACGUUCCAUCUCCAGAGAAGAGGAAAAGAAAAAUGAGACUGGAGGUUUUCAACAGACGACAGAAAGCAAAGCUGCAGAAGAUAGAGCAGACAAAGCAAUCUGCGAAAGCCAUCCCUCCCAGGUGAAUAUUUAAGUUCCUUAACCUGGUCAACCCCACUUCCAUGGACUUGGUAAAAUUAUAAACCAAUUAUUUUUUGUACAAUUCAUUGUAGGUUUAAUAACACCCAAUGAGCUAAAAACCAUAACAUCUGUGACUGGUUUGAAAUCAUCACACACCUCUGCCGACAUGCAUUUGGCAGCCACUGACUAUGCAUGUGAUUGUCACUGUCAUUGUCAAUACCCCUGUCAUUGUCUUUCUAUUCAUUUAUUUUAUUACAUUGUUUAUUUAUCAUAUACCGACUAUGAAGCACUUUUGGAUGUAAAUGUGCUAUACAAUUUACUUACUUUCUUACUAACGAAAGCUAGUAUACUGCAGAAAACAGAGAGUGACUGACAAACAAAUGACAAACUGUCAUCAGUAGUGUAUACAUACUCUUUAUACUACUUUUGUUUUCACCAGAGCAUCAACAGAUUGUCCUCAAGACAGCAACAAGGAUCCUACUGCAGAGCAAAGUCCCACCACAGAGCCUUUGAAGGGAUCUACCCAUGAAGAACCUGGAAAUGAUGUCCAGCCUGUUCUCCAUGAGGAUGAUCCAGCAACCCCACCAUGCAGCACUGAAACCUGUGGUAAACGCGACCAAUCUCUUGAGCAAGAAUGCCAAGCUCUGAGGAAUGGAAAUAUGUUGUUGAAGGAAAAAAUGAAUAGGACUACACUGAAUGAGAUGAGCUUGCAUAACGAUGAUAAAAGGGUUAAUACUCUCACUGGUUUAUCAGCAUUUUCCACUCUCAUGACAAUUUUUCAUAUUGUGGCUCCUUUUCUCCAACUUAAAUCUAGUAUAACAUGUUUUCAGCAGUACAUGUUAACUUUAAUUAAGCUUAGAAUGAACUUGUCCUUUGAAUUUUGGGCUUUUUAUUUUGACAUUGACUCAACCACUGUUUCAAAGCUCUUCAAACACUGCAUUAGUGUGAGGCAUUGUAGACUGGUGCCAAGUCUGGUGUUGUGGCCUGACAGAGAAUACUUAAGAAAAUCUCUUCCAUAUGCAUUUCCAAACAGUAGCUUUGAAAAGACAGUUUGCAUCAUAGAUUGUUUUGAAAUAUUUCUAGAGAAACCCAGUAGAUUGCUAGCCAGUGCUCAGUGUUACUCCUCAUACAAAUCACACCACAAUAUGAAUUAUUUAAUUGCAAUUUGCCCUCGAGGUUCCAUUUGUUUAAUUUCCACUGGAUGGGGAGGUCGCACAAGUGAUAAGUUUAUCACAGAACAAAGUAACUUUUUAUCUCAUUUGCCCCCCAGGGGACGUAGUUUUAGCGGACAGAGGUUGUCUGGUUAAAGAGUCCAUUGAGAGAUGCCAAGCUGAAUUAAAAAUUCCAGCAUUUACUCGUGGAAAGAAGAUCCUGCUGACUUGGAGAACACCAGACGUCUAGCCUCCCUUAGGAUACAUAUUGAAAGAGUGAUAGGAGUUCUCCGUCAAAAGUACACAGUCUUGCAAAGCACUGUCCCCAUAUGUUUCACGGACAUAGACGGAGAAAAUGAUGUGACCUACCUUGACAAGAUGGUGAGCGUGUGUUGUGCACUUACAAAUGUGUCUGAAUCUGUGGUGUCCUUCCAGUGAUGGGGAUGUACAGUAAAUUGAACUGAUGUGACUGGCUACAGAUGUGCUCAACCAGCAAAUAAACCUUUGUGACUCACA
Molecule: RNA transcript, 2126 nt
Organism: Gadus macrocephalus (Pacific cod)
Lineage: Eukaryota; Metazoa; Chordata; Actinopteri; Gadiformes; Gadidae
Exons: 3
Source: RefSeq, a predicted model, not a curated record